RNAcentral lists this ribosomal RNA (879 nucleotides) under Prototheca zopfii. RNAcentral's name for it is "bacterial SSU rRNA". It matches the Rfam family "Bacterial small subunit ribosomal RNA", at positions 320 to 1179 of the family's 1533-position model. Lineage: Eukaryota; Viridiplantae; Chlorophyta; Trebouxiophyceae; Chlorellales; Chlorellaceae. The record is from RNAcentral.
UGAGACACGGUUCAAACAUCAUUUGAUGGCAGCAGUAGGGAAUUUUGGACAAUGGGCGAAAGCUUGAUCCAGCAAGAUAACGUGAAAGAAGAAGGUUAUUUUGAUCGUAAAUUUCUUUAAUGAUGUUUUAGAUUAUGACAUGACAUCAUCAAAAAGUACUGGCAAAUCCUGUGCCAGCAGCCGCGGUAAUACAGGGAGUGCAGACGUUAUUCGGAAUUAUUGGGCGUAAAGAAAAAUAAGAUGGUAGCCAAUUAAGUAUCUUUGAUCUUAAUAUAAACUUAUGAAGAAAAAUCAAAGCUCAACUUUGAUACACUUUAUAAGACUGGUUUACUUGAGUGAUGUAGAAGAGAAUGGAAUUUCUUAGCGAGAGGUAAUAUUUCAUGAACUAAGAAGGAAGGCCAAAAGCGAAGGCAAUUCUCUUGGCAUUUACUGACAUUGUAUUUUGAAGGUUUGGGGAGCAAAAAGAAUUAGAUACUCUUGUAGUCCAAACUGUCAACGAUGACUUUUAUUUGUUGCGUUUCUAAUAUCUAUUACAAAUGCAGUGAAACAGCUAACGCGUUAAAAAGUCCGCCUGAGGAGUACGGUCGCAAGAUUAAAACUCAAAAGAAGAGACGGGAGACUAUACCAGUGGUGGAACAUGCGAUUUAAUUCGAAACAACACGCAAAACCUUACCAGUUCUUGACAUAUUAUUUAAAGCAAUUUGUUACAGAAUUGUCUUUUAUAGUAAUACAGGAGUUGCAUGGCUGUUGGAAGUUCGUGCUGUGAAGUGUUGAAUUAAUUUUCUUAACGAACGAAACUCUCACUCUUUGGUUAUCAAAAAAGACAAUUGUCUUUUUACCCUUAGAGAACUCCCGCUGAUAAAGCGAUGAAGAGGAGAA